This 732-nucleotide unclassified non-coding RNA is filed under the name Hevea brasiliensis (rubber tree). The record is from RNAcentral. Lineage: Eukaryota; Viridiplantae; Streptophyta; Magnoliopsida; Malpighiales; Euphorbiaceae.
GGCUUCUAAGUAUAGGCCUCCAUACAAUAACCUCAAUAUGCUCAUAGGCGUAAGGCUUACAACAAGAAAUGGAUCAAAUAGAGGCGCAAGGAGACGAAAAAACGUAGCUCAUAAAAUAUAAGGCCCACCACGCAGUCCAUAAAAAUCCUAGAGCUAGGAACAGAGCUUGAAGGAGGUAGCUUCAUGUCAGUUAUCAGCUCCUCCAAACACACAGGAAGAUCGCAACACCAGAAGAAGAAAAGUAAGAUGCUACUAUUGAAAAGCUGAUUUAGAAACUUGAGAUUUUACAAGAAAAACCAUAGCCGUUCUUCCCUUAGCCUCAAUCUCAGCAGCCCCUUAACCCAUGUAUAGAACUAGCAGCCUUCGAAGUGGUGGCUCAUGGCAUUUGACUCUCAUCUAGUCUUGAGGGCCAGACACCAGUCAUUGGCAAGAAGGCCUCAAAGUUACCAUGCACAGCCUCAAAGCCUGGCACAGUGAUUGAGCAUAGACAUGCACAACCUAGUCGACUGGUAUUAUGGGUCCGCAAAGACAAAAGUAGAUCAAUAAAGAACCCUCUCGAAAGAAGAACCAGACUAGCAAACCGCAAAAGAAUCCAAGCAAAAACUAUCAACAACCCAAUCCAAAGGUGGGAAGGGAGAAACUCACUUCCGGCUUAGGUUAAAUGUCAUCUCCUACCCAAAAGGGGUAGGGUAUAGCUGCUAAACGGCAGAGAAAAGGAAAACUAUGGCCCUG